GGGAUAAGUGCUGAAAGCAUCUAAGCAUGAAGCCCCCCUCAAGAUGAGAUUUCCCAUUACGUUAAGUAAGUAAGAUCCCUCAGAGACGAUGAGGUUGAUAGGUCUCAUGUGGAAGCAUGGCAACAUGCGGAGCUGAGAGAUACUAAUCGAUCGAGGGCUUAUCCAGAA
Molecule: ribosomal RNA, 168 nt
Filed under: Alteribacter keqinensis
Lineage: Bacteria; Bacillati; Bacillota; Bacilli; Caryophanales; Bacillaceae
Description: Bacillus sp. KQ-3 partial 23S ribosomal RNA
Rfam family: Bacterial large subunit ribosomal RNA
Source: RNAcentral